RNA transcript from Rhea pennata, 2066 nucleotides. It is a transcript of the gene named HYLS1 centriolar and ciliogenesis associated, with no coding region annotated. The transcript is spliced from 3 exons. Lineage: Eukaryota; Metazoa; Chordata; Aves; Rheiformes; Rheidae. The record is from RefSeq and is a predicted model, not a curated record.
CGGCGGGCCCCGCCCCGCCGUUUAAACGCCGGUGACGGUUGGCAGCCGUUAACGGUCGCGGCGCGAGGACUGGAGGACAGCGCGGGGGGCGCGCGCGCGGCAGAGUCAGUCCAGCUCAGCAGAUUCCAUGGAGGAGAUGAUGGGACCCGACAGGUAUAGAUGGGCCGCUCUGAACGAGGAAGAGCGGCUAGCGGGAGCGGCUGCUUUGGCUCUUAGCCAGCUCUACGCUGAGCAAGGAGAUGGUGAUAGCCGGAGAGGAGCCUGGGCGCUUCCCCAGUACGAUCCCUACAGCAAAGCCUCCGUGGCUUCUGGGGCCCGGCCCGCUCUUCCCGUGCUGUUACGGCACAAGCAGGCAGAGGCCUGCGUGCCAUCCUCUGGGGCAGCGAGAGGGACCAGGAGACCGGUAAUGAAAAGGAAAGUGCUGAGGCGGAGACCUGAUGGAGGAGUAGAGGUCUCCGACGAGUCAGUCGCCAGCGAAACAGAGAGCAGUGCUGAGAGCGACCCCGAGGUUUGGAACCUGCAGCAGCAAUUGCUUAACCUCAGCACCCAUCUGGAAGACAGCAUCUCCGAGGGGGAAAUUGAGUCAACCAGCAGUUUCCUCGACGAGUCUUCCCUGGAGCUUUAUCGCCACCGGCAGAGUCCCCCCUUCCUUAGGGACUUCCAGGGCCAGAGCUCUCCCUCUUCCCAGCAGGACACAUCUGCGACAGGACAGCCAAGGUCUUUUAUUCCUCCAAGGUUAGAGCAACUAGGCCGUAACCGUGGGAAAACUGACCGCGUAGCCAAGUAUUUUGAAUACAAGCGAGACUGGGAGAUGUUCCGAAUACCGGGGGAGGAUCAGCGGAAAGAACUGCGUUGGGGUAUUCGCGAACAGAUGCUCUACAAGCCUGACCUCCCGAGCAAGCCUCAGCACAUCUACGUCCCCAACACUUACAUAGUGCCUACUGAGAAAAAGAGAGCUGCUUUGCGCUGGGAGGUGCGCUGUGACCUGGCAAACGGCCUCAUACCCAGAAAAAGCUCCUCUUCCUAGUUACAUAAAGUCCUCUUCCAUCCACAGGACUAACACUUAACUCAGGUGCUUAUCAUUCUCCUAGAUCCUCCUUUUUUUUUUCUCCCCUUCUGGAGGCCCCACCAAUUUGGAAAAAAAUCUCCCUUGUGUUUACACACGUGGGCUGCUGAUGGUAUAAAACAACUUUAGCCAGCUCCUUAUUCAGUUGGCUUGGUUAAACGGCAUUGCCUCCCCAUUAAGGCACAAAGCUUCCUUUUGAAUAACUAUUCUAUCAGAAGGCACGGAAAGCAGACACAGCGAAGAACAACCAGUCAACUUACAAGACUUGUAUGCUCAAGAGAACAACUAGUAUAACAAGUCUGGUGAUUUUUUUUACAUUUAAUUGCUCCCAUUCCUCUGGAUGGAUUCUUGUGUGAGCUAUUAAUGCCGUUUUAUUUAUGGUUUCUCAGCAAUAUGUUUCUUUAAUAAAGCAUGUGGAAAGAUCUGUUCUGUGGAUUACUUAGAAAUACUAUUUGGCACAAAAUCCUCCCAAAACUCACACUCAUGCUACAAAUAAACCGUAGACGCCUGCCGACAGACGCCUGCCGGCUCCGAGCGUGCCGGAACGCCCCGAAUCCGCGAGGAAGCGGCGGGAGAGGCCCGCCGGCGAGAAGGGGGCCACGGAGGCAGCGGCACCCCCGAAACGGCUUCGGGACCCCCCCCCACCCACCCACCCAAGCAACGCAGCAGGGAGCAGCCCAAUGGGACGGCAGCAAAGCAGCGGCCCCGCGGAGCCCCAAAGCCGCCCCGAUUCUCCCCAAUCCCCCGCCGUGUAAAAUCGCACCGCGAUCCUUCCCCACGGCCGCGGGUGACUCCAAGGCGGGCGCGGGGAGCAGGAAGCCCUGCACGCCCCCACCCCGGCGCGCAGGCCCGGCCCGGCCCUACCUCCGCGCCACGCCACGCCGUGCCGCCGGUACCGGAUCCGCCCCGCCGGUACCGGAUCCGCCCCGGAAGCAGCUGCCCCGCCCCCGCCACGUGACCUGGUCCCACCGCCCCAGCCCGACUUGGCCCCGCCCCCACA